This 21-nucleotide microRNA is filed under the name Physcomitrium patens. RNAcentral describes it as "ppt-miR1034". Lineage: Eukaryota; Viridiplantae; Streptophyta; Bryopsida; Funariales; Funariaceae. The record is from miRBase by way of RNAcentral.
UUACUUUGGCAGCGCUGUGCU